CCUACGGGUGGCUGCAGUGGGGAAUAUUGGACAAUGGGGGCAACCCUGAUCCAGCCAUGCCGCGUGUGUGAAGAAGGCCCUCGGGUUGUAAAGCACUUUCAGUGAGGAAGAACGCCUGGUGGUUAAUACCCAUCAGGAAAGACAUCACUCACAGAAGAAGCACCGGCUAACUCCGUGCCAGCAGCCGCGGUAAUACGGAGGGUGCGAGCGUUAAUCGGAAUUACUGGGCGUAAAGCGCGCGUAGGUGGCUUGAUAAGCCGGUUGUGAAAGCCCCGGGCUCAACCUAGGAACGGCAUCCGGAACUGGCAAGCUAGAGUGCAGGAGAGGAAGGUAGAAUUCCCGGUGUAGCGGUGAAAUGCGUAGAGAUCGGGAGGAAUACCAGUGGCGAAGGCGGCCUUCUGGACUGACACUGACACUGAGGUGCGAAAGCGUGGGUAGCAAACAGGAUUAGAUACCCCAGUAGUC
RNAcentral lists this ribosomal RNA (465 nucleotides) under Vreelandella stevensii. RNAcentral describes it as "partial 16S ribosomal RNA". It matches the Rfam family "Bacterial small subunit ribosomal RNA", at positions 338 to 795 of the family's 1533-position model. The record is from RNAcentral. Lineage: Bacteria; Pseudomonadati; Pseudomonadota; Gammaproteobacteria; Oceanospirillales; Halomonadaceae.